GGUGAAAGGCUUGCUGCCUGAAGAAGAGCUUGCGUCCGAUUAGCUAGUUGGUAAGGUAAAGGCUUACCAAGGCAUCGAUCGGUAGCUGGUCUGAGAGGAUGACCAGCCACACUGGGACUGAGACAAGGCCCAGACUCCUACGGGAGGCAGCAGUGGGGAAUUUUCCGCAAUGGGCGAAAGCCUGACGGAGCAAUACCGCGUGAGGGAAGAAGGCUCUUGGGUUGUAAACCUCUUUUCUCAGGGAAUAAUAAAAUGAAGGUACCUGAGGAAUAAGCAUCGGCUAACUCCGUGCCAGCAGCCGCGGUAAUACGGAGGAUGCAAGCGUUAUCCGGAAUGAUUGGGCGUAAAGCGUCCGCAGGUGGAACAACAAGUCUAGUGUCAAAGACCGGGGCUCAACCCCGGGACGGCGGUGGAAACUGUUGAACUAGAGGGUCGUAGGGGUAGAGGGAAUUCCCAGUGUAGCGGUGAAAUGCGUAGAGAUUGGGAAGAACAUCGGUGG
RNAcentral lists this ribosomal RNA (499 nucleotides) under Geitlerinema sp. 0BU40S1. Its description in RNAcentral is "bacterial SSU rRNA". It matches the Rfam family "Bacterial small subunit ribosomal RNA", at positions 199 to 715 of the family's 1533-position model. Lineage: Bacteria; Bacillati; Cyanobacteriota; Cyanophyceae; Geitlerinematales; Geitlerinemataceae. RNAcentral also lists the same sequence under 1 other name. The record is from RNAcentral.